This 2620-nucleotide long non-coding RNA is filed under the name Homo sapiens (human). Its description in RNAcentral is "PREDICTED lncRNA (TCONS_00127816)". The record is from RNAcentral. Lineage: Eukaryota; Metazoa; Chordata; Mammalia; Primates; Hominidae.
GCGGCGCCGCGGGGCCUUAGCGGACGGAGGGGAGCGCGGGGGUCACCGGGCCGGGCCGGCAGCCCUAGAGCUCGGCCUGGCGGGGACCCUGGGCCAGCCCCGCGCCUCCGUGGCCCGGGCGUCUCGUGCGUGUCCGCGAACUCGCGUGCGCGCGUCACCUCGGACCGCAGCAUGGCUCGGAGGGCGGCCCUACUCGCGCCGCCCUAGUGCUGCGAAGGGCCUCGGAGCCCAAACCCGGAACCGCCAUCUGGGACUGGGAAGACGACAUGGCCAGAAGCCGACUGGACAGCCGGCACCACCCCAUGAUUCAAGGAUGGCCAUAGCCCAGUGCAGGAGCAGAUUUGCUUCCAGUUUGCCCUUCCUCCUAGCUGAACUCCAGGCUCCAGCCCAGAGAAGCAAGAAAAGAGCAAACAGAAGUUAUUCACAUGUGCAUCAGGUGGAGUCUCGCUCUGUCACCCAGGCUGGAGUGCAAUGGCACGGUCUCAGCUCACUGCAACCUCUGCCUCCCAGAUUCAAGCAAUUCUGCCUCAACCUCCUGAGUAGCUGGGACUACAGGCACGUGUCACCACGCCCAGCUAUUUUUUUUUUUUUUUUUUUUUUUUUGAGACAGAGUCUCCCUCUGUCGCCCAGGCUGGAGUGCAAUGGCGCAAUCUCAGCUCACUGCAAGCUCCGCCUCCCCGGUUCCCGCCAUUCUCUUGCCUCAGCCUCCCGAGUAGCUGGCACUACAGGCGCCUGCCACCCAUGACCGGGUAAUUUUUUUUGUAUUUUUUAGUAGAGACGGGGUUUCACUGUGUUAGCCAGGAUGGUCUCGAUCUCCUGACCUCAUGAUCCGCCCGCCUCGGCCUCCCAAAGUGCUGGGAUUACAGGCGUGAGCCACCAUGCCCGGCCUUAAUAACUUUUUAAAGGAUGUCAAGUUAAUGGAAUGUAUUCUGCUUUAGAAAAUAAAACUCUUAGGUUUUCAAAACUUAGCAGCCCCAGCAUUACCAAGGGCCUGCCUACCGUUUACAGUAUGUGAAUCCUACUUCCUUUUCAUGGUUGUAAGACUGGGAUUUUCUGGGAGCCGACCUGCAGGAGUCCACAGGCCACCCGUUAGGACUGUGCACGCUCCUCCACAAACAUGCCUGUGGGGGGAUCCUUGGCUCUCUCUGCAGGGGUGCGUUGGGUGUGCACCAGCUGGGAAGGAAGGAUCUGUCGGAACUGCAAUCAAAGCCACGGCAGGCCUCCCAGGGUCUUACUGGUGGUGAAAACAACCAGCUUCCUCGUCCCUCCCUCAAGCAUGGCAACCACCGCCCUGAGACUCAAAGAUACCUGGAGGAGUGUGAUCGGGCUGACCUGUUGCUCUUAUCUGGAAUUCUUUGAGGGUGAUGGGAGAUCACUUCUUUUUUUUUUUUUUUUUUUUUUUUGAGACAGGAUCUUGUUUUGUCAACCAGGCUGGAGUGCAGGUUCAGGUGAUUCUUCCGCCUCAGCCUCCCCAAGUAGGCUGAGUAGCUGAGAAAACAGAUGCGCACCACCAUGCCUGGUUAAUUUUUGGAUGUUUUGCAGCCAUGUGGUUUCACCAUGUUGUCCAGUCUGGUCUUGAACUCCUGAGCUCAAGGGAUCCUCCCACCUCGGCCUCCCAAAGCAUUGAGAUUACAGGUAUGAGCCACUGUACCCGGCUACCCAGGAGAUUACUAUUUUUUGGCAUAAAACCAAACAAAACUAUUCAUUAGUUUAUCCACUCAACAUUGAUUUAUUAUUCCUGACUGCAGCCAACAACAUUGUGAAUACUUUCCCUGCCUCAAGCUCUGUUCUAGGUCCUAGAACAUUCAUGACAAUUUGUUUCUCUGCCCUCUGGCAGGUGAGAAAACUUUGUAAGAAGUUUCAAUAGCAAAAAGUAUGAGAAGAUGUACAAUAGAUCUGGGACUAUUUGUAACAAACCCGGUGGAAGAUGUAGGAGCAGAGGUGGAAGGCCUUAAAGAGGGUCCUGCGCAUGCCGGGCGGGCCUCCAACAGAGAAAACACACAACCUGGCCAGGCACAGUGGCUCACGCCUGUAAUCCCAGCACUUUGGGAGGCCAGUGCGGGUGGAUCACCUGAGGUCAGGAGUUCGAGAUCAGCCUGGCCAAUGUAGUGAAACCCCAGUCUCUACCAAAAAUACAAAAAUUAGCCGGGCUUGGCACAGGCUUGCAAUCCCAGCUGAGGCAGGAGAAUCGCUUGAACCUGGGAGGUGGAGGUUGCAAUGAGCCAAGAUCAUGCUUUUGCACUCCAGCCUGGACGACAGAGUGAGACUCUGUCUCAAAACAAAAUAAAUAAAAUAGACACGCAAUCCAUACCACAGCCACCAGGGUGAUUGUCCAGGUUGUAUUUCUGCUGACAUCGACCCUUCAUGCCUUCCUCUUGUUGACCCUUCCAGCUACACCUAGCUCGGUCCUCUUCGGAGCCACGCCAACACCCAGGUUCCUCUGCAGUGCAUCCCCAUGGGGAUUUACCCGGUGAUUGAUUUUAUUUCUUUAUUUAUUUUUAUUAUUAUUAUUAUUUUUGAGACAGAGUUUCACUCUUGUUUCCCAGGCUGGAGUGCAGUGGCGCAAUCCCAGCUCACUGCAACCUCUGCCUCCCGGGUUCAAGCGAUUAUCCAGUCUCAG